CUGUGUGUGUUUAUAACUCUGACAAACAUCAAACAUGAUCAACAACUGUUUCUCACUAGAACUGAACCUACAACCAACAGAAAUGACUUUCAUCACCAUAUUGAUCUGGACUCUGACUGUAUUAUGUAGAGAAUCUAUUGGGCAGGUGACAGUGACUCAAACUCCCUCAGUGCUGCUCGCUCAAACUGGACAAUCAGUCACUGUGACCUGUACAUUUAACAGAGAUCCAGACUGCUGUUGUAAUGGAAAACAGUGUCUCAGCUGGUACUUACAGAAACCUGGAGAAGCUCCUAAACUCCUGAUUUAUGGAACAAGCAGCCGUCAGUCAGGAACUCCAUCUAGAUUCAGUGGCAGUGGAUCUAACAGUGAUUUCACUCUGACCAUCAGUGGAGUCCAGACUGAAGAUGCUGGACAUUAUUACUGUCAGAGUUACCAUUACAUCAACAGUAAAAGUGUGUUCACACAGUGAUUGUGAGUGAUACAAA
Non-coding RNA from Carassius carassius (crucian carp), 485 nucleotides. The record is from the annotation of a RefSeq genome assembly. NCBI's taxonomy places the organism in Eukaryota, Metazoa, Chordata, Actinopteri, Cypriniformes, Cyprinidae.